Molecule: unclassified non-coding RNA, 309 nt
Filed under: plant metagenome
Description: partial contains 5.8S ribosomal RNA, internal transcribed spacer 2, and large subunit ribosomal RNA
Rfam family: 5.8S ribosomal RNA (bases 1-105)
Source: RNAcentral
GAAAUGCGAUAAGUAGUGUGAAUUGCAGAAUUCAGUGAAUCAUCGAAUCUUUGAACGCACAUUGCGCCCCUUGGUAUUCCAUGGGGCAUGCCUGUUCGAGCGUCAUUUGUACCCUCAAGCUCUGCUUGGUGUUGGGUGUUUGUCCCGUCUCCGCGCGUGGACUCGCCCCAAAGUGAUUGGCAGCCGGCGUACUGGUCCCGGAGCGCAGCACAUGUCGCGCAAACGAGUGCCUUGGUACGGCAGCGUCCAUAAGCCCCUCUCUCACGCUCUUGACCUCGGAUCAGGUAGGGAUACCCGCUGAACUUAAGC